Molecule: ribosomal RNA, 254 nt
Filed under: uncultured bacterium
Lineage: Bacteria
Description: partial 16S ribosomal RNA
Rfam family: Bacterial small subunit ribosomal RNA
Source: RNAcentral
UACGUAGGCAGCGAGCGUUGUUCGGAGUUACUGGGCGUAAAGGGUGUGUAGGCGGUUGUUUAAGUUUGGUGUGAAAUCUCCCGGCUCAACUGGGAGGGUGCGCCGAAUACUGAAUGACUUCGAGUGCGGGAGAGGAAAGUGGAACUCCUGGUGUAGCGGUGAAAUGCGUAGAUAUCAGGAGGAACAUCGGUGGUGUAGACGGCUUUCUGGACCGUAACUGACGCUGAGACACGAAAGCGUGGGUAGCAAACAGG